AACGAACGCUGGCGGCAGGCCUAAUACAUGCAAGUCGAACGAACCCUUCGGGGUGAGUGGCGCACGGGUGAGUAACGCGUGGGAACGUGCCCCCGGGUGCGGAACAACAGCUGGAAACGGCUGCUAAUACCGCAUAAUGACUUCGGUCCAAAGAUUUAUCGCCCAGGGAUCGGCCCGCGUCUGAUUAGCUAGUUGGUGAGGUAAAGGCUCACCAAGGCGACGAUCAGUAGCUGGUCUGAGAGGAUGAUCAGCCACACUGGGACUGAGACACGGCCCAGACUCCUACGGGAGGCAGCAGUAAGGGAUAUUGGACAAUGGAGGAAACUCUGAUCCAGCCAUGCCGCGUGAGUGAAGAAGGCCUUCGGUUGUAAACUACUUUCAGUAGUGAAGAUGAUGACGGUAACUACAGAAGAAGCUCCGGCUAACUUCGUGCCAGCAGCCGCGGUAAUACGUAGGGGGCGAGCGUUGUUCGGAAUCACUUGGCUUAAAGCGUACGU
RNAcentral lists this ribosomal RNA (497 nucleotides) under uncultured bacterium. Its description in RNAcentral is "bacterial SSU rRNA". It matches the Rfam family "Bacterial small subunit ribosomal RNA", at positions 28 to 572 of the family's 1533-position model. The record is from RNAcentral.